GCACCUAAGCCGGGUUAAUCGCCAACCAGAAGAAGAAAACCUCUUAUUUAAAUUAACAUACCAAGAAAUUAAACACUAACUUCAACAGUUUCACAUAAAACGUUGCCAGUAAACUAGUGUUGAAAUAUAAUUAGAAACGAAAUGCUAUGUAUUUACAUAUCCAAUUAAAAUAGUAUUCGCAUCUAAUUAAUGCGCCAUGUUUCAUUUUAGUUUAGUUUUAUAUGUUUUGUACGUAAUUUUAUGCUGAAAGCCAACUCAGUACAGUUGUUAGAAAUCGCAAAUAAAACGAGAAUAUUUUUUUUUACUCUGAUAAAAGAUGUGACACGAAAUACACUAUAAUGCAUUUGUCAUUUGGGAUUCUAGUAUGGCUAUUUAGCACACAAUGGAGCAUUAGCGUUGAUGCGGCCCGCUGUCCGUCGAAUGAACCUGUUUGUGGCACUGACGGUAUCACAUACAAAAAUAUUUGUCAUCUGAACUCCGCUAAAUUGGAGGAUGAGGACCUGCAAGUGCUGCAUCAGGGCAGCUGUUCGAUUUCUUUAAACGAAAUUCCGAAACCGCGCAAAAUGAAAUUAAUGGCCAUGCAGAGUUCGAAAAGUCGUGGCCAUGGCAGGAGAAAGAAGAAAAGGGGGAAGGGACACCGUAUAUUCAAACGACCCAGGGAACUACAAAACAGGCGAUAUCAUGGUUUUUAAUUCUUCAAUGUCUAUUUAAUUUAUAAUUUAGUUAUAAAUGCAUACUAUACAUAAGGUAUAGUUUUAAGACAUUGUUUAUCAUAUUCCGAAAAAUUUGCCACUGACAACGUAAACAUAAAUAAAAUUAGCUUAUUAAUUAUGAUAAUUAAGUAUAAAGUCAUAAGAAAUAUAAUAAAUAAACAAUGGAUUAUAUACACUAUCAGAAUGCCAAAAUAUGAAUGCAAAUAUUAAGCACUAGGUUUCAAUAUAAAUAAACUAUGCAAUAACACACACACACACACACACACAGUUUAGCGUUUCAAAAUUUGCAUAUGCUGACAUGCAAAUGCAUAUAACCCGAUGUCUAAUAAUAAAUUAUGAUUUAAAAGCA
Manduca sexta (tobacco hornworm) is the source of this 1062-nucleotide long non-coding RNA. RefSeq lists it as uncharacterized. NCBI's taxonomy places the organism in Eukaryota, Metazoa, Arthropoda, Insecta, Lepidoptera, Sphingidae. The record is from RefSeq and is a predicted model, not a curated record. The transcript is spliced from 2 exons.